Molecule: ribosomal RNA, 93 nt
Filed under: Endomicrobium sp.
Lineage: Bacteria; Pseudomonadati; Elusimicrobiota; Endomicrobiia; Endomicrobiales; Endomicrobiaceae
Source: RNAcentral
ACACCCGAUCCCAUUCCGAACUCGGAAGUUAAGCCCAUCAGGGCCGAUGGUACUUAGAUCGCAGGAUCUUGGAAGAGUAGGUUGCUGCCGGAC